Molecule: long non-coding RNA, 300 nt
Organism: Mytilus trossulus (common blue mussel)
Lineage: Eukaryota; Metazoa; Mollusca; Bivalvia; Mytilida; Mytilidae
Exons: 3
Source: RefSeq, a predicted model, not a curated record
GGUAUAUCUAGUUCAAAUUGGCUUGUGGAAGGAGUUUAUGUCACAGGCAGACACAGAUAUAGAACACCGGAUCAGUAUAAAAUACGUAAACAGCCAUUACACCUAUAUGUUUUCUCAUGCGUCUGGACACUACGACAGAGAAACAUCACUAUCAUGGAAUACAUUAUUUGUAAAGGCCAAAUGCUGUGGUGUAAGCACUGAAGUGUUCGCCCUAUUCGGAACAUCAAACUGGAGGUACCAGGCUGAUUCAAACUCCCAAUAUAUUCCUGUGCAAUGUUGUAAAUCUCAAACAGAAGUGUA